Molecule: RNA transcript, 1073 nt
Organism: Ictidomys tridecemlineatus (thirteen-lined ground squirrel)
Lineage: Eukaryota; Metazoa; Chordata; Mammalia; Rodentia; Sciuridae
Gene: Misfa
Gene name: mitochondrial sheath formation associated
Source: RefSeq, a predicted model, not a curated record
UGCUAAGUUGCUAGGACUUGCCUUGAAUUUGUGAUCCUCCUGCCUCAGCCUCCCAGGCCUCUGGGAUUACAGGUGUGCACCACCAUGCCCAGCCAAUAUAGGACUCUUAUAAUAAAAGGAAACUACACCAGAGAUGCACACAGAAAGAAGACCAAACGAUCACACAAGAAGAUGAUAGCCAUCUGCAAGCCAAGGAUAAAAACCUCAGAAGAAAUCAACUUGAGUUACCUUGGAUUCCAGGAACUACAGGCCUAACUGAUGAUCAUCUUUAUAACGAGGGACUGAAGCUAACCUUGAGCUACAGCAAGCCUCACAGCACAGAUCACCCCAUGAUGAGGUUGCCCCCAUAAGUGGGAGCAAUAACUGCAUGAUGAACGAAGCUGCUUCCCUAAGCUGGAGCAAUCAUCACAGGAUCAGAACCAAAUUGCCCUUUCAUGUGAUGAUGACUUCAGAGCCUCAUAGAACCAGUCUGCUUGAUAAUUAUCAACCAGAAACCUGACCAGGAUGACUUACUCUACCAUCUAUACAACACCCCAAGCCAUAUGAGCCCACAACUGUUGUCUUUGUUCCCCUUUUCUACAAAACCUCAAAGUUUCUGUUAGUCCUUGAAGACAAAUCUUUAGUAACUAUUAGACAAGAAGAUAGACCACCCAUAGUCACCCAGGAAAAGGGUCUCAAAGAAGAAAGAAGAUAAGAGAAUGCGAAAUCAGUCUUCUGACUCCAGCUGGUCCUAGCCACAAGGACACAAGGACAAUUCCUUAACAGUCCCUAGACAUGACCAAAAUGUUCUCUAAAGCACUUCCUCUUGCACCAACAAACCUUUACCCACUCCCUCAGCCUUGUGCUAAUAAAGCCCUAGAAGUCACUUUUCUCCAGAAUUACUGAAGAAGACAAAGUUGAUUGGCCCCUUUAUGAAUCCUGUAUUUAUAUGUCAUCCCGCCAGUCAUCUACAGGGACAGAUUAAACCCAGAAAGCCCCGUAGACAACAGACACCCAUUAUCAACCCUCUCUUAUUCCCGCUUCAGGAUUUGUGCUUUCUAUUACUCUAAUAAAUCCUGUUACUUUACACUCAU